This 468-nucleotide ribosomal RNA is filed under the name uncultured bacterium. RNAcentral's name for it is "partial 16S ribosomal RNA". It matches the Rfam family "Bacterial small subunit ribosomal RNA", at positions 28 to 507 of the family's 1533-position model. The record is from RNAcentral.
GACGAACGCUGGCGGCGUGCUUAACACAUGCAAGUCGAACGGAAAGGCCCUGCUUUUGUGGGGUGCUCGAGUGGCGAACGGGUGAGUAACACGUGAGUAACCUGCCCUUGACUUUGGGAUAAUUUCAGGAAACUGGGGCUAAUACCGGAUAGGAGCUCCUGCUGCAUGGUGGGGGUUGGAAAGUUUCGGCGGUUGGGGAUGGACUCGCGGCUUAUCAGCUUGUUGGUGGGGUAGUGGCUUACCAAGGCUUUGACGGGUAGCCGGCCUGAGAGGGUGACCGGCCACAUUGGGACUGAGAUACGGCCCAGACUCCUACGGGAGGCAGCAGUGGGGAAUAUUGCACAAUGGGUGGAAGCCUGAUGCAGCAACGCCGCGUGCGGGAUGACGGCCUUCGGGUUGUAAACCGCUUUCGCCUGUGACGAAGCGUGAGUGACGGUAAUGGGUAAAGAAGCACCGGCUAACUACGUG